UACGUAGGGCGCAAGCGUUAUCCGGAAUUAUUGGGCGUAAAGAGCUCGUAGGCGGUUUGUCGCGUCUGCCGUGAAAGUCCGGGGCUCAACUCCGGAUCUGCGGUGGGUACGGGCAGACUAGAGUGAUGUAGGGGAGACUGGAAUUCCUGGUGUAGCGGUGAAAUGCGCAGAUAUCAGGAGGAACACCGAUGGCGAAGGCAGGUCUCUGGGCAUUAACUGACGCUGAGGAGCGAAAGCAUGGGGAGCGCACAGG
RNAcentral lists this ribosomal RNA (253 nucleotides) under uncultured bacterium. Its description in RNAcentral is "partial 16S ribosomal RNA". It matches the Rfam family "Bacterial small subunit ribosomal RNA", at positions 524 to 776 of the family's 1533-position model. The record is from RNAcentral.